GGAGAGAUGGCCGAGCGGUUUAAGGCGCACGCUUGGAAAGCGUGUUAAGGGGCAACUCUUUCGUGGGUUCGAAUCCCACUCUCUCCGCCA
RNAcentral lists this transfer RNA (90 nucleotides) under Pelagibacteraceae bacterium TMED201. RNAcentral's name for it is "tRNA-Ser". It matches the Rfam family "tRNA". Rfam says of the family: Transfer RNA (tRNA) molecules are approximately 80 nucleotides in length. Their secondary structure includes four short double-helical elements and three loops (D, anti-codon, and T loops). RNAcentral also lists the same sequence under 2 other names. The record is from RNAcentral. Lineage: Bacteria; Pseudomonadati; Pseudomonadota; Alphaproteobacteria; Candidatus Pelagibacterales; Candidatus Pelagibacteraceae.